UCGAGUGAAAAGGCAGUCUUCGAGUGUAACUGUACAGAGGCAGAAGCUUGUACAUGGACAAUGGAAAUGGUAAAAGGGCCGUUUACCUCGAAACCACCGUACUUUGGAAAAGUGUGACGGUGGUCAUACCUAAUGACACCGUCAUCGGAUACGAUUUCACGUAUUUGCACGACGCGUCCAGCGACGCGUUACGCAUUUUUACCGAUUAAUUAUUUGCUCGUUUGAAACUUUUUCUUUUCUUUAUUGUCUCUUCGCGUAGCAACAUCGAGGAUGCAGAAAUUUAAGAAAAUUGAAAAGAAUUUUUUCAAAAGAGGAGAUAAAAAGAUUAUACAUGCAAAUAUAAUUAUUGUAUUGUACAAUAAUGUAUAUAAACAAUACGUAUCGAAGAUAUACCGAGUGAAAGUGAAAAAGGAAAGAAUUUCUUCAGAGAUGUGAUUAAUACUCGGAAGACGGGCGAUUUUCCAGCCUGAAAACUGAUCAACCGGCAAUAUUUAAGCAAUGAAGAUAAAUAAGGCGUAGAAGUGAUCCGUCUUCUCGCUUCAUUAGGUUGCAUUCAUCCAUUUAGCGAAAUUGACCAACUGACGUGGCUCACGACGAUUAUCUUGUCAGCUGCAGACCUUCGAGUAUCCACCCCCUGAGCAUUCGUCAGCCUGAAUUUUAAUUUAACCCUGCUCACCUCUCCCCUCUUUUUAAUUAAUUUCACUUCGCGCCAACUUCGUGGGUGGGCGCGAUAUCUCUUUAAUUUUAAUAAUUCACCAUAAUUUAUUGGCUGAAACUGCUGAAAUUUUUUAAGAAUCAUCCCUUAUUGAUUGAAAAAUUCUGAAGAAUAUAAGCCUUGGACCUUUUUUUUUUCUUUCCUUUUUUUUACUUAUAUAGGAAAGAAAAGUUUGAAAGAAGAAGAUGAAGUCGUCACAAUGGUGCUUUGGUGUUUCCAUGAAUAGCCGCAAGAUGUUCCAGAAGAAAGGAGGAAACGUUCAAGGAGGAAGCAGACAGAUGUCGCCAAAAAGAAAGAAAAUGGAGGACGAUGGUUAUUCAUCGAGUUAUUCAUGGAUUUAUUAAAUUCAAAUUCAAUAUCGCAAUCACCCCUUUACCAUCAGGGAGGAACAGGAAGAAGAGGAAGAAAAAGAAAAGAUACAAAAGAUCAAGAAAAAUAAUAAAAAGAUGGCCGAAAAAUACAAAGAAUCUCUUCGUUUCCAAGAUUCAAAAGACCAUCUAAAGAGAAGAGCAGAGGAAGGAACGGAAGGCGGAAGAAGCAUUUGAAGGGGAAGUGAAAGAGGAAUUGGCGAGGGAAGAAAAACAAGGAAGGAAAUGGGAUCGCGAUGGACGAGAGGACCACUUAUUUUAGGCCCCUGUUUCGCAGAAGGAAUACACGUUUCUUUGAGAGGAUGUCUCAAAACAAUUCCAUCCUUCCCGAGAAACAUCACACGAACAAGUGACGGUGACAAGAGAGAACAGGGCCAUUGAAAACCAUCAGUUUGAAUGAAAGCACGAGAGAAGCUGAGUAAAAAGAGCACGAGCAUUCAUAACAUCCGGUUCGUUGGAACGUUCGAAACAGUAUAGCCGACCAUGCAAAAAUUCUCUCUCUUUUCCUGUCCUGUUCCGGCUCUUACUCUCAAGGAACUCGAAAACCAGAAUAAAAAUCCAGUUUUAAAAUACAACCGUGUUUACAGCGGUUAUAGCGCAGCAAGCCACGAUUCUGUAUUCGAGUGCGAGAAAGCUUGUCAUCAACUAGACUAUUGAUCGAUAAUAUCUAAUCAUUUUCUUUUCCUGGUUGCACUUUAAUUUUUGUUGGAUUAAAGAACGAGUUUCCAAACAGUAUCGUUCCAUAAAAUAUAAAAUUUCAAUUUUAGAAAUGCAUUUGGAAGAUAUAUUUGACAUUCACUUCCUCUUUCUAUUCUAGAUGUCGCUAGCUAUCGAAGAAAAAUAUCUCAUUCGAAGAAAAACUUUUUUAGAGGUUAUAUCCUUUUACAAUCCUUUUAGAAACUGAUGUGCACCCACAGAAACGACCUUCUCACGUUCGAAAAACUCCGUAUCUCUUCUUUUACACUAGCUUCAGGGCCGCAACAAACAUAAUAAAAAAAUGCUUCCUUCCGUUCCGUCUGCGGAUCCUGCAUCUGGCUCUCGAAGCCGCCGAUUCCAUCGGCCAACUCUCAUCUCUCCUCCGAUAUUCAACCUUUCUCCUCUUUUCUUUUCUUCGCCGAUUCCUCCAUCUCCCUUCAAUCACUUUCAACCUUCUCCCUCUUUCCAACUUUGCCCCAAAGUAAAUUUUCGAGAGCUACCUUCUGGCGCGCGAAUAACUGGCCUGCUGUUGGUGAACCCCCUUGUUUCGACUCCUUCCUUCUCCAGGGGCUAUCCUUAUCUAAGUGGACAGCAUCCAAGGCUGCUCCAAUCUGUGGAACGGAGUGUUUUAGGUAGGCAGAACCCGCGGGGAUCGAUCGUCAGAUGGGUGGCCGAUUCCACGCCCACGAACGGCCGGGAGGCGUUUAGGGUGGAAGAUAGGAAAUUUUGAUAUUGGUACCUUGAUUUUAGAUCCAGGGCGCCUCGAUUUUAUUCCCUACGAACCUCAAAAUCUUUUCGCUUCUUUAUGUUGGCAUCUGGUAUGUUGAUUAUUAUUGUUUUAGUAAAUUUAGGUUAUCUUCGAGGCUUGAUCUCGAUUAAACUUAGGAUAAUCCUGUUUUGGAGAUAUUGAUUUUUAAUAAGAAAUUAAUAUUUAUUAAGAAUAUAAUGAAAUAAAAAUUCAUUAUAUUUCAUUUACAUCUGUAUAUUAACGCGACAUUAAAUAUUUAA
Molecule: long non-coding RNA, 2787 nt
Organism: Apis cerana (Asiatic honeybee)
Lineage: Eukaryota; Metazoa; Arthropoda; Insecta; Hymenoptera; Apidae
Source: RefSeq, a predicted model, not a curated record